AGCUAAGAACGAAGUUUUGAAGCUUGGAGACCCCGGACCUCGAUUUCUCCCAUCUCCGAGUUUGGAUUGCCUCUCCUUUCGUUUUUAAAGAGGUAAGUGGAGAUCCUACCCUUCUUUUAUACUUUAUAUAAAUUUUGAGGGGUUUUAGAGAGUUUUAAUGCAUGAUUAGGCUAGAUGUAAAUGUUAGGGUUUAUGUGAGUUAAAUGGUGGAAUGUAUGUUAUUGUAUGUUAAAAUGUGAUGUUGUUGGGGUAUAGACUAGUUUUAAGCCCCCAAAUGCUUAAGAAUGUGUUUAUGCAUGUUUUUGCAUGGUUUGGUUUGAGUUUGGAGGGUUUGGGAGGCAAAUUGUGCAUGAGAGGCUGAGUUCUGCCAUUCUGGAAGAACUCAGGUUCGGCAGCUGAAGCCAUGUUCGGCCGCCGAACCUGCCUGUGGUGGCAUGUUUUGGCUGCCUAAACUCGCCCCCGAAAGUUGGACUUUCGGCUCUGGAGGGGAGUUUCGGCCGUCGAAAGUGCCGCCGAAAGUGCAUGAGUUUCGGAUCUAGAAGGGACUUUCGGCCGCCGAAGGUGCAUGGCUUUCGGAUCUGGAAGGGGGUUCGGCCGCCGAAAGUGCCCUGUUCAGCCUUCCUUUGCAUGUUUUCUAUGAUUAUUUUAUGGUGUUUUAGGGGGUUUUUGGGGAGAUGUUUAGAGUCAUGUUAGUGUAUGUUUGGUCCCUCAUUUGAGUCCACUUGUGUAGGUUCGGACCCGAGGAACCGAGGACCCCAGCAGUGAGAUAGUCUGUUUAGAGUCAGCCUGAGGUGAGUAGAAUGAAUCUUUAUAUUUCAAAGCAAAUAAAAUUCGAGCAUGUUCAUGCAUCACGAAUGCCAUGAUAUAUAUUAGAUUGUUUGCAUUAGAAUUCAUGAAUAUGAUGCAUUGCAUUAAUUAUUGUUGAUGUGGAUGGAUGUUGGAUGAUCCAUUAGUCUUCGAUAUGAUAUGAGAUGGUAUGGUACGGAAGUCCAGGUCGAGACCCAUUCUACGCCCCAGGCACGAUGUUAAGAGAAAGUCCAGGUCGAGGCCCAUUCUAUGCCCCUGGCACAUUGAAAUGUUAUGUUAUGUUAAGGGAAAGACCAGUGGCCCAUUCUACGCCCUGACACUAUUGGAAUGUGUAGAGGGCUAUUGGUGACAAGUCCAUCCUUGAUGUGAAUUGUUUGUGAUAUGAUGCAUUCCAUGAAAGCAUAUGUUUUUAAUAUACUAUUUUACUAUUCUGCUCACUGGGCUCUAGUAGCUCACCUCUUUCCCUUAACCCCCAGGUUUGCAGGUUCGGGAUAGACCAGUAUGUCAGCAAGAGUAAGGGCUCUUUGAAUGUAAUAAUUAGAUGUGGACAUGAGAAAAUAAUGAAAGAUAUUGUAAUGUAAAGUAUUGUAUAAAAAUGUUAUGAGGUUUAGUAUUGUACUUGAUCCUAAUGUUAUGUUAAUCCCCUUUUGUACAUGAUCGUUAUAAAAAGUUUUAAUGUUAAGAAAUGUUAAACUAAGCUUGAUGCAUGAUAUGAUAUCCCACUAAAGCAUUUAAUGAGGGCUUUUGUGUGGGGUUUAUGCUAUGGUUAUGAUGCAUGCACAGGUCAAACUUGGUGAAUGAAAAAGUUUAAAAUUUUUAUGUAAAUGUAUGAUCAUGUAUGGGAUUUAUCAGGUAUGUCAGGAUGUAUGUUAGGCUUGCUACGGGUCCCGGCGACCUUAAGUCGACCUGGAUCCUAGCGCCAGUAGCGGUCCGAUUUCGGGUCGUUACACUUCUGCUCAAAAAGAUAACUUGUGCAGAUAGUAUCAAUUUACUUCCCCACAUAAUAUACAAAUAAAUUUAAUUCCCCAAAUAAUAUACAAAUAAAUACUUGAAAGCAGCAUUACAGAAAUUUAGCUGUUUGAAUACUUAGCAGCUCUAACAUCACAGAUUAAACAGCUGCAUUAAGGUAAUAUCCCCUAUAAUAAUGUCUUACUUGUGCGUGUCAUGAUGAUAAGAUAGAGAGAAAACUUUUAGUUCUUUACUUUGAACUCCCUGGUUCUUCAAAAUCCUUUUAUGCUUAUUUUUUUAUUAUACUACAAAUGCUAUAAAAUAUAUACCCCGAGCCCAAAAUGCCAAAUUCACAUGCUGUGUGUCUUUGACUGCACAGUCCAGGAAUGUAAAGGCCCAGAAGGGCUGGAACCCAAGCAUACAAAAUUGAACAAUUAUAAUAGUAGUAUGAAACAAGGCAAGAAAAAUUGUAAAACAAAACCAUGAUAACAA
RNAcentral lists this long non-coding RNA (2247 nucleotides) under Manihot esculenta (cassava). Its description in RNAcentral is "long non-coding RNA (MESC_LNC002534)". The record is from RNAcentral. Lineage: Eukaryota; Viridiplantae; Streptophyta; Magnoliopsida; Malpighiales; Euphorbiaceae.